UCCAGACUCCUACGGGAGGCAGCAGUGGGGGAUAUUGCACAAUGGGGGGAACCCUGAUGCAGCGACGCCGCGUGGGUGAAGGAGCGUUUCGGCGCGUAAAGCUCUAUCGGCAGGGAAGAAGGAGGACGGUACCUGACUAAGAAGCCCCGGCUAACUACGUGCCAGCAGCCGCGGUAAUACGUAGGGGGCAAGCGUUAUCCGGAUUUACUGGGUGUAAAGGGGGCGCGGACGGCAGCGCAAGCCAGGAGUGAAAGCCCGGGGCCCAACCCCGGGACUGCUCUUGGAACUGCGCGGCUGGAGUGCAGGAGGGGCAGGCGGAAUUCCUGGUGUAGCGGUGAAAUGCGUAGAUAUCAGGAGGAACACCGGUGGCGAAGGCGGCCUGCUGGACUGCGACUGACGUUGAGGCCCGAAAGCGUGGGGAGCAAACAGGAUUAGAUACCCGAGUAC
This 447-nucleotide ribosomal RNA is filed under the name uncultured bacterium. RNAcentral describes it as "partial 16S ribosomal RNA". It matches the Rfam family "Bacterial small subunit ribosomal RNA", at positions 330 to 793 of the family's 1533-position model. The record is from RNAcentral.